RNAcentral lists this ribosomal RNA (532 nucleotides) under uncultured bacterium. Its description in RNAcentral is "bacterial SSU rRNA". It matches the Rfam family "Bacterial small subunit ribosomal RNA", at positions 777 to 1307 of the family's 1533-position model. The record is from RNAcentral.
AAUAGAUACCCGGGUAGUCCACGCCGUAAACGAUGAGUGCUAAGUGUUAGAGGGUUUCCGCCCUUUAGUGCUGCAGCUAACGCAUUAAGCACUCCGCCUGGGGAGUACGGUCGCAAGACUGAAACUCAAAGGAAUUGACGGGGGCCCGCACAAGCGGUGGAGCAUGUGGUUUAAUUCGAAGCAACGCGAAGAACCUUACCAGGUUUUGACAUCCCACUGACCGGUAUGGAGAUAUACCUUUCCCUUCGGGGACAGUGGUGACAGGUGGUGCAUGGUUGUCGUCAGCUCGUGUCGUGAGAUGUUGGGUUAAGUCCCGCAACGAGCGCAACCCUUGAUCUUAGUUGCCAGCAUUUAGUUGGGCACUCUAAGGUGACUGCCGGUGACAAACCGGAGGAAGGUGGGGAUGACGUCAAAUCAUCAUGCCCCUUAUGACCUGGGCUACACACGUGCUACAAUGGAUGGUACAAAGGGCUGCAAGACUGCGAAGUCAAGCCAAUCCCAUAAAACCAUUCUCAGUUCGGAUUGCAGGCUG